GACGAACGCUGGCGGCGUGCUUAACACAUGCAAGUCGAACGGAAAGGCCUGUCCUUCCUUGUGUUGGACGGGUACUCGAGUGGCGAACGGGUGAGUAACACGUGAGUGAUCUGCCCCCAACUUGGGUAUAAGCCUGGGAAACUGGGUUUAAUCCCCGAUAGGACUGCAGGGUGGUGCCUGUGGUGGAACACGAUUCUCUUGUGGUUGGGGAUGAGCUCGCGGCCUUUGAGCUUGUUGGUGGGGUAAAGGCCUACCAAGGCGGCGACGGGUAGCCGGCCUGAGAGGGUGGACGGCCACAUUGGGACUGGGAUACGGCCCAGACUCCUACGGGAGGCAGGAGUGGGGAAUAUAGGACAAUGGGCGGAAGCCUGAUGCAGCGACGCCGCGUGGGAGAUGACGGCCUUCGGGUUGUAAACUCCUUUCGACCGAGAGGAAGCCGCCUGGUUGGAAGGGUGGUGACGGUAGUGGUAGAAGAAGCACCGGCUAACUACGUG
RNAcentral lists this ribosomal RNA (494 nucleotides) under uncultured bacterium. Its description in RNAcentral is "partial 16S ribosomal RNA". It matches the Rfam family "Bacterial small subunit ribosomal RNA", at positions 28 to 507 of the family's 1533-position model. The record is from RNAcentral.